AAGGUCUAACCUGCCCAAUGAAGAUUUAAAUGGCCGCAGUAUUUUGACUGUGCAAAGGUAGCAUAAUCAUUAGUUUUUUAAUUAAAAGCUUGUAUGAAGGGUUGGACGAAAUAAGAUCUGUCUUUAUUUAAUUUUUAGCUAGAAUUUAACUUUUAAGUCAAAAGGCUUAAAUAUGUAUAAAAGACGAGAAGACCCUAUAGAUCUUUAUUUAAUUGAUAUUUUAAUAAUUUAAGAUUUAGUUAAUUUAAAGUUUUAAUUAAAUUUUAUUGGGGUAAUAUAAAGAUUAAUAUAAUUCUUUUUAUUUAAAUCAUUAAUUUAUGAAUAAAUGAUCCAUUACUAUUGAUUGUAAGAUUAAGUUACCUUAGGGAUAACAGCGUAAUUUUUUUAGAGAGUUCUUAUCGAUAAAAAAGUUUGCGACCUCGAUGUUGCACUAAAAAUUAUCUUGGGUGUAGAAGUUCAAGAUUUUGGUCUGUUCGACCAUUAAAUUUUUACAUGAUCUGAGUUCAAACCGGCGUGAGCCAGGUCGGUUUCUAUCUUUAUUUAAUUUAUAUAUUUUAGUACGAAAGGACCAUAUAUAUAAUAUAUUUAUAUUUUAUAGUUGUUGAAUAUUAAUAUUACUUUGGCAGAAUAAGUGUAAUGAAUUUAGAAUUCAUGGAUGUAAUUAUAUUACAAGUAAUACUUGUAUUUAGGAGAUCUAUUAUUGAUUUUAGUAUGUAUAUUAAUUUUGAUUAUCUGUGUAUUAGUUGGGGUUGCAUUUUUAACUUUAUUAGAACGUAAGGUUCUAGGAUAUAUUCAAAUUCGUAAGGGACCAAACAAGGUAGGAUUUUAUGG
This 831-nucleotide ribosomal RNA is filed under the name Odontocheila confusa. RNAcentral describes it as "partial large subunit ribosomal RNA". The stretch from base 1 to 561 matches the Rfam family "Bacterial large subunit ribosomal RNA", at positions 1847 to 2925 of the family's 2925-position model. The record is from RNAcentral. Lineage: Eukaryota; Metazoa; Arthropoda; Insecta; Coleoptera; Carabidae.